Long non-coding RNA from Rhinichthys klamathensis goyatoka, 481 nucleotides. RefSeq lists it as uncharacterized. The record is from RefSeq and is a predicted model, not a curated record. NCBI's taxonomy places the organism in Eukaryota, Metazoa, Chordata, Actinopteri, Cypriniformes, Leuciscidae. The transcript is spliced from 3 exons.
AAUGCAAUACUAAUUUUAUUUUCAAAGGUCUUUCCCUGGAUUUUUUAAGCGUGGUUCGAAAAGACGGCUACCCAGCUGUAGUAGACCAGCAAAGUGCAACAAAAUAUGGAAACCCUUUGUGUUUUCAGUUUUUCUGUUAAACAAAAAUACAGACAUGGUCCCGUCACCAGCUGAUGAGGUGCAGCUUUUGCAAGCUGGCUUGGGAAAACGGAAUCUUACCAUGCCUGAUGACUUGAAACAUUCAGAGGUCUCUAGCUUGUUCAGUGAUGCAUACCCAAAAAUGAACUCUGCAUCUGGAGGCUGGCUUCUUUACAAAGCAACUGGUGGACAGGGUAGAAGGCGGUUAAAUCUAGUUCCUCCGGAGUCUGAAGGCUACUGUGGGAGCACAAUUAGAAGUGCAACUGUAGGGGGGAAAACAAUGUUGUACAUUGUUCCAUUACAAGAUGAGUUUGACCUGUCACCUCUACCAUCUGAUGCCCCG